AGAGUUUGAUCCUGGCUCAGGAUGAACGCUAGCGGCAGGCUUAACACAUGCAAGUCGGGCGGCAGCGGGGUGGGAGCUUGCUCCCACUGCCGGCGAGCGGCGCACGGGUGAGUAAUACGUAUGCAACCUGCCCCUGUCAGGGGGACAACCCGCCGAAAGGCGGGCUAAGCCCGCGUAUAUCGCCCCGGGGCAUCCCGGGGGGAGGAAAGGAGCGAUCCGGACAGGGAUGGGCAUGCGGCGCAUUAGCUGGUCGGCGGGGUAACGGCCCACCGAGGCGACGAUGCGUAGGGGUUCUGAGAGGAAGGCCCCCCACACUGGUACUGAGACACGGACCAGACUCCUACGGGAGGCAGCAGUGAGGAAUAUUGGUCAAUGGGCGGGAGCCUGAACCAGCCAAGCCGCGUGAGGGAAGAAGGUACAGCGUAUCGUAAACCUCUUUUGUCAGGGAACAAAGGCGGGGACUAGUCCCCGGAUGAGGGUACCUGAAGAAAAAGCAUCGGCUAACUCCGUGCCAGCAGCCGCGGUAAUACGGAGGAUGCGAGCGUUAUCCGGAUUUAUUGGGUUUAAAGGGUGCGCAGGCGGCCUGUUAAGUCAGCGGUAAAAGCCCGGGGCUCAACCCCGGCGAGCCGUUGAAACUGGCGGGCUGGAGUUGGAGAGAAGUACGCGGAAUGCGCGGUGUAGCGGUGAAAUGCUUAGAUAUCGCGUAGAACCCCGAUUGCGAAGGCAGCGUACCGGCUCCACACUGACGCUGAGGCACGAAAGCGUGGGUAUCGAACAGGAUUAGAUACCCUGGUAGUCCACGCAGUAAACGAUGAAUG
RNAcentral lists this ribosomal RNA (818 nucleotides) under uncultured bacterium. Its description in RNAcentral is "bacterial SSU rRNA". It matches the Rfam family "Bacterial small subunit ribosomal RNA", at positions 8 to 815 of the family's 1533-position model. The record is from RNAcentral.